RNAcentral lists this ribosomal RNA (465 nucleotides) under Vreelandella stevensii. Its description in RNAcentral is "partial 16S ribosomal RNA". It matches the Rfam family "Bacterial small subunit ribosomal RNA", at positions 338 to 795 of the family's 1533-position model. The record is from RNAcentral. Lineage: Bacteria; Pseudomonadati; Pseudomonadota; Gammaproteobacteria; Oceanospirillales; Halomonadaceae.
CCUACGGGUGGCUGCAGUGGGGAAUAUUGGACAAUGGGGGGAACCCUGAUCCAGCCAUGCCGCGUGUGUGAAGAAGGCCCUCGGGUUGUAAAGCACUUUCAGUGAGGAAGAACGCCUGGUGGUUAAUACCCAUCAGGAAAGACAUCACUCACAGAAGAAGCACCGGCUAACUCCGUGCCAGCAGCCGCGGUAAUACGGAGGGUGCGAGCGUUAAUCGGAAUUACUGGGCGUAAAGCGCGCGUAGGUGGCUUGAUAAGCCGGUUGUGAAAGCCCCGGGCUCAACCUGGGAACGGCAUCCGGAACUGUCAAGCUUGAGUGCAGGAGAGGAAGGUGGAAUUCCCGGUGUAGCGGUGAAAUGCGUAGAGAUCGGGAGGAAUACCAGUGGCGAAGGCGGCCUUCUGGACUGACACUGACACUGAGGUGCGAAAGCGUGGGUAGCAAACAGGAUUAGAUACCCCGGUAGUC